RNAcentral lists this long non-coding RNA (2025 nucleotides) under Homo sapiens (human). Its description in RNAcentral is "HSALNT0108415". The record is from RNAcentral. Lineage: Eukaryota; Metazoa; Chordata; Mammalia; Primates; Hominidae.
UGAGAGGCAAGAAGCAGCGGGUAGCACUUUUCUCGGUAUCAAAGAGACGUGAAACUAGGAACUUCCAGUUUCCCAAGACGCAACAUUGAAUUCAAUCAGAGGUAAAGAUUCUGGACUAUUGGAUUAAAUGAGGAGGCAGGAGCUACUAUCUCUUGCAGUGUGAAACCAGGGCCGGGGAUGAAGAUAUGGACACAUCUCAGCUUUCCAGGGAUGCUGUGAUGUGGGUGAGCAUGAGCUUUGUCUAUGGGCUGAAUUGCAUCCCUCCAAAAUUCAUAUGUUAUGGUCCUAACCCCUAGUACCUCCGAAUGCGACUGUUUGGAGAUAGGGUCUUUAGAGAUGUUAUUAAAUUAAAAUGAGGUUAUUAGAGUGGCUCCUAAUCCAAUAUGAUUGGUAUCCUUAUAAGUAGAGGAAAUUUGCACAUGGCUGGGUACAGAGAAAAGUCUAUGUAAAGACUCAGGGAGAAGACCAUCUAAAGCCAAGAAGAAAGCCUUCAGAAGGAACCAACCCUGCUGACACCUUAAACUUGGCCUUCUAGCCUCUAGACUGUGAGAAAAUAAAUUUUUGUUGUUUAAGGCAUCUAGUACUUUGUUAUAGCAGCUUGAGCAAACUAAUACAAGUUCCAUUUGUAGUAGAAGCUAUUAAACAUCAUUACAUAGUCUAUGUCUGCACUCAACAAAGACUGGUUCCCACCAUUAAGACAAGCUGCUCCUUCUACCACUUGGGAGGAAAUCAGCUUAAGGAAAGGUGUUAGGUGAGUAACAGUCAGGGCAAGGGCCCCUAGAGUAGGGGCAGGGGAGAGGGCAGUGUGUGAAAGGAAGGGCUAAUUUUUUUUCUUGAAGGGCUAGUUUUUUUUUUCUUUUUUUCCCCCUAACAUUUUGUUUUUCUAAACUGAGGGCUUUUUUUUUUUUAAAAAAGAAAAUCCUUUAUUGCCUUCUUAUUACAAGAGCUUUACCUGUUCAUUGUAGAAAUAUUAGGAAAUACAGAUUAAAAAAUGAAGAAACAAAAUAUAACUGUGAUCUCACCACUCAAAGGUAACUGUUCACACAUUCUUGUAAAUCUUUCCAGACUUGUUCCUAUAGAUACAUGAAUUUAUAUAAUAUAUAUAAAUGGAAUGAUUUUUUUGUUAUCAUCUUUCUGUGUCAAUAAUUUUUAAUUUAGAGCAUCAUUUCUAAUGCCUGACAUUGUUUCAUUGUAUCUAUUAUAUCCUAGAAAUAGAAUUGGUAGGUGGGAUGUGUCUAGGCUUAGACAUAUGUAAAGACUUUUAAUAUAUUUUGCCAAAUUGCCCUCCAGAAAGGAUGUACCCAUUUAUAUUCAGCAAGCCUAUUUUGAGUGCAACAUAAAGCCCUGUCACUGGUAACUCUUGACUCAGCUGCUCAAGGGCUUUCAGCCAAAAUCCUAGGAGGAGAGUGAGGAAACUAGAGGACACUGAAAAGCUGUGCCACAAGUGACUCAGAUCCUGCAAGUGGCUCGAUGGAGGAGUGUCCCGUGUUGGUGGCGGAGGUUUUUCCUUCCUUAGCACAGGACAGGCUGCGGGGAAGCAUGGCAGGAUCAGCCGUCUUGCGCCCAUAUGGGACCUGCAAGCUCCGCCAGGAGGAGCCACGUCAGUGCAGCCACUAGGGGUCGCCCUGAAGAGCAUGGCACCCACAGGGGUGUGGAGUGAGGCGUGAAGAGGUGACUUGUGUUGCUCACUUGAGCGUGGAAGAGAUAUCCCUGAGGACCUUUGAGUAAGCUGAGAGGGACCCGUGGACUGCGGUUCCAGGGACUUCACUGCAGGGAUCCUCAGAUCAUUGUGAUUAUGACCCCUGGUUGUUAAUUUUAUUCCUCGAGCUUUGAGGGCCUGGGAAAAUACACGUUAUUUAGGAAAAGGGAACAGAAGGACUGAUAGCCUUUGUAGUUUUUAUGCAUUAAUGGGAAAUGCUAUUUGAUUUUGGUUCCUUGCCCAGUAUAAGAGAUCCCAGGGGGCCUAGUUAAAAGGAAAGCCAAGCUUAUCUUAAAUGAAAAAUAAAAUAUUUUAUUUUAUAAACA